This 252-nucleotide ribosomal RNA is filed under the name uncultured bacterium. Its description in RNAcentral is "partial 16S ribosomal RNA". It matches the Rfam family "Bacterial small subunit ribosomal RNA", at positions 1250 to 1500 of the family's 1533-position model. The record is from RNAcentral.
AAAGACAGUGAUGUGGAGCAAAACAACAAAAAGACAGUCUCAGUUCAGAUUGUAGGCUGAAACUCGCCUAUAUGAAGUCGGAAUUGCUAGUAAUCGCAGAUCAGAAUGCUGCGGUGAAUACGUUCCCGGGUCUUGUACACACCGCCCGUCACACCAUGGGAGCCGGGAAUGCCCGAAGUCGGCAGCCGAACCGUAAGGAAGGAGCCGCCGAAGGCAGGCCCGGUAACUGGGGUGAAGUCGUAACAAGGUACC